This 2106-nucleotide long non-coding RNA is filed under the name Citrus x clementina. Its description in RNAcentral is "Citrus clementina (C. clementina) long non-coding RNA (CCLE_LNC000306)". Lineage: Eukaryota; Viridiplantae; Streptophyta; Magnoliopsida; Sapindales; Rutaceae. The record is from RNAcentral.
UAUAAUUAUAAUUUUUUUUUUACAACAGCUGUGAUUUAAAAAGUAUAGCACCUCAAUCUCAAACGCAUCGUUACUUUCUUGUUGAGGUGCCAUGCUUUUGUUGAUGGAAAUAACAGUGGAGACGCUAACACAGUAGGUUUCUUGAGGAGGAUUUGAAAGCAUCAUUCCAACCGAUCUGAAAAUCACCAAAUCCGAACUUAGCCAAUCGAAAUUCGAAUAUAUCCAAAAUAUUCAUCCCGUUUGAAUCUAAUCCGAUUUAUUUCUGCUCGAAUUUCAAGUUUUAUUGGAAUCAGAUGGUUUUUUUUCUCAAUCCACUCCACCCAAACUCCAAUCGGAUUAAUCUGAUCUGAAUCCGAAGUUGCCCAACCCUACAUGUAACCACUAAGAAAUUAUAACAAUUAUUCUAGAUCCUUUUAUCAUUCAGACACUUUUUGCGAAAAGGACUGUGAGCCCCAAAGUUUGGAAAAAAAAAGACUUAAAACUUGUUAAUGUUCAAAUAUAUAUAUAUAUAUAUAUAUAAAAUUCUCUUUUUAUUAAUAAAUUCUGUUUAUUUUAAUACUAAAUUUAUUUUUAAUUUAGAAUUACUAUUAUAUACCUAUAAUAAAUAAAUUAAUAUAUUGACUUAAGAAAUGUUACGUGUAUAAUAAAAUCAAUAAUUUUUAUUUAAAACUUAAAAUUAAGAUAUAAUUAUUUUUUGCCCAAAUUAUUCAUUAUUUUUAGAGUGAAAUUUUAAUUUUAAUUUUAUCCAUUAUUUAUUAUUUUUUAUUGUGAAGGGUAUAUUGAUAAUUUAGAAUGGAUAACUUGGGCAAAAAGGUAAUAUAUCUCAAUUUUAAGUUUUAAAUAAAAAAAUUAUUUAUUUUAUUAUACACGUCAUCGACGACAUGUCUUAGGUCACUAUAUUGAUUUAUUUAUUAUAGGAAUAUAAAAGUAAUUAUAAAUUAAAAUAAAUUUAUUAUUAAAACAAAUUGAAUUUACUAAUAAAAAUGGGGGUUAUAUGUCUUUUUUUAUUAUGUUAAAGGAUGAUAACAUGACCAGAGUAAAAUAAGUAUUUUGUCCAACUAUGUAUAACCAAAAAAAAAUUAUCUCUAAAUCACAAAUCUUCAUAAAAAAAAUUUUACUAUCAUUAAAAUUUCAGACAAUUUCUCUGCUCUUUUAAUCUUUAACUAUUCUAAAAUAGCUAUUAUUCUUUGCAAAAUCUAAACAACUGUUCAAAUUAAAUUAAGGGUAAAUUCAAUUUAUUUCUUAAUUAGAAUAAUAAUCUUUAAUAUACCUCUCGAAAGUAUGAAAAUUUCAAUUUAUUCUCAUUUUCAUUUAGAAUAUGAUAUCAAAUAAGAGACACGUUGAUGACUUUUCUUAUUAAAAAAAAAACAAUUCUAAGGAGAUUGGUGAAUUGAAGUUUGCCCUAGAAAGAAUUUAAAAAAAUCCUUGACCCUCAGUAAAUGCUUCUACUUCCCUCAAGAAAUAGUCAAAAUACGAUGAACAAUUGAAGAUGCUUAAUUAUUUACUAAAAAGAAAUGAUAUUGUAUCAUGAAAAUGAUCCAACCCGACGAAGCCAAAAUAAAAUGCGGUUUACCUCUCUGUGUCUCCACCACCACCUGCCCUUUGGCGACAGCUGAAAGCUGUCUUUCAUUUCUCCCAACCAACACUCUUAACCUAGGACUCUUUCUUUGUAUUAUUUUCGGAGCCUGAUUUUUUACAAUUUUUCCUAAGGAAGAUAUAAUUUGUUCAUUUGUAUCAAUCAAGUCCCCAAUGCCUAAUGAGAUAAGUCGACAGCUGUAAGUUCUCGUAUAAUAUUGAUUUUUAGAUUUCUGACUAUCACAAUCUUUGAUAUGUUACGUUAACAAAAACGAAUUUAAUAAAAGAACUCUAAAAAGAAUUUCAAUCAUUUUAAUAAAAAAUGUAUGGGAUUGUAUUUAAGAUGAGUUUGUGUGUUACGUAUUCAAAUUUGGAUUGCUUAAAUAAAGUUCUUACAAAGUUACUUGGUUAAAUUUAGGUGGGUAAACAAAUAUAACCACUUGAAAAUUUCUUGGAUAAGCUGGUGAUGGCAUUUUCUUUUUUUAAAAAAAAUUGUACAAGAAGGAACAAAAUUAAAAUUAAUUUUUUUAG